RNAcentral lists this unclassified non-coding RNA (24 nucleotides) under Trypanosoma brucei. RNAcentral's name for it is "partial trans-spliced leader sequence". The record is from RNAcentral. Lineage: Eukaryota; Euglenozoa; Kinetoplastea; Trypanosomatida; Trypanosomatidae. RNAcentral also lists the same sequence under 2 other names.
UAGAACAGUUUCUGUACUAUAUUG